This 392-nucleotide long non-coding RNA is filed under the name Marmota monax (woodchuck). The record is from RNAcentral. Lineage: Eukaryota; Metazoa; Chordata; Mammalia; Rodentia; Sciuridae.
GGCUGGGCACAAUCAGGAGCCACUUGUCAAAAGAAACUAACUUUAUUUUUAGAACCACACACGCCAAACAAAACAGCCUCUCAGGAAAAACCCUCAGAGCCUCAACUGCCACCACCGGCUUUCCACAAGCCUCUCUCUCCCACAUUGCUCAUGAGUUUUAUUUACAACAUGUCAGACACAUGGACUUUCCCCAACGCAAGUUCCAAGGAAGUCAAGAAUGUUUCAUCUGUAACUGACAUCAAGGCCGACAUAGACAAGAAGUACAGGUGUGUCAGCACCACCCAGGUCCACAUGAGCAAUGUGACCAUCACCCUCAGCGAUGCCACCAUCCAGGCCUACCUGUCAAGCAGCAGCUUCAGCAAGGGGAUAAUGUACUAAAUUGAUCAGAAGGU